CAUGGAGAGUUUACAUGAGAAACUCUUUCUCGUGUAAAGCAAGGGGCGCACAAGAUAAGGUGGGUGGCGCAUGGAUUAGUUGGUUGCCCAUUCAAAUUCAAACAUCCUUUGAAUUUGAAUGGCCAACUAACUUAUUUUUAUCCAGAUAAUUGGUGCACAAGGGUGGGCGUGGGAUGCCUUCUGUGUGGGAGAAAAUUCAUGAGAAGUUGCUUCUCGUGAAUUCAAAUGGGUGCAGAGAAGUGAGGUGGCGC
Molecule: long non-coding RNA, 251 nt
Filed under: Elaeis guineensis (African oil palm)
Lineage: Eukaryota; Viridiplantae; Streptophyta; Magnoliopsida; Arecales; Arecaceae
Description: long non-coding RNA (EGUI_LNC062066)
Source: RNAcentral